UAUACAACUGCAUACCGGGGGGCUUUGGGGAGAAAAAGGAAAAAUAAAAUCUUAAAAAAAAAAAUACAAAAAGACUGACAACACCAAGUGCUGACGGGGAUGUGGAGCAACGGGAACUCUCAGGCCCUGCUGGGGGAAAUGCAGGAUGGCACGAAAUGAACUCUCUGGAAAACAGUUCAGUGUGUUCUCAUGAAGUUAAACGUGUACUCACCAGGGGAACCACCUCCUCCACUCCUAGAGAAAAAAUGUCCACACAGACAUUUGCACACAGAUAUUCACAGCAGCUUUAUUGAUAAAAACUCCAAACUAGAAACAAUCCAAAUGUCCACCAGCAGGAGAACUGGAUAAAAUGUGGCGGCUCCUUACAGCGUAACCCACUCGGCGAUGGAAAGAAGGGGCUAUUGGUGCCGUAACAACAUGGGUAAAUCUCACGAGCACUGUGGUGGAUGCAGGAGCCAGACCGCAAGAAUACGUACCCUAGAUUCCAUUUACGCGAAGUUCAAGGACAGGCUGCUUCUUCCAUCCUGAUACUAAUCCCCACAGUGGCUGCCUCUGGGGGAGGCUGGAACCGGCCAGCAAGGGGCAGGAGGGGGCUCCCUGGGGCGGUGCUUCUUUUCUACACCAGAGUUUCAAAGUGUGAUCCCGCCGGCAGCACCAGCACCCCCGGGGACUUUUUGAACCGUCGUUCUCCCGCAGGCCCCCGGGCCCACUGAGCCAGAAGGCCUGGAGAAGCCCCACAGCCUGGCCUUUGACGAGCCCGGGAUGAUUCCGUGCAGGCCAGUGUCUGAGAACCUCAGCUUGUAUCUUUAUGGGAUAACGGCCACUCAGCGUAGACAUUUGUCAAAACGCUUCCAAAUGUGCAUUUCACCGUGUGUGAAUUUUACAACAAAGAAAUAAGGCAAUUACAAAUGCAAAACAAAAUUCAAACCCUUAAAAACAACACCUGCUGGGCAUCCCCUCCUUGUUCUGAAUACGCUCGCUGUCCUGGGUGGGAGAUGGGACAGAUGCAGAAGAACGUGGGGCCGUCAGCGGGGCAGGGCCACCGGCGGCUCAGGCCUGUGUUGGGGGUCUGCUCCCAGGGGCGGGGUUGCUGCUCCCUGUCUCCGGUCUUUUUCCCCAGCUGUGGCAGAAGCAGAAGCCCUGGGGGGAAGGAAAUAUGCGACUCCAGGGGAAGGACUGGGCUUGUUGGCCUGCAGGAGACCCGUCCUGGCACUGCCCCCGCUGGCACUGGCCCUCCCUUGACCUUGGCAAGGCCAGCGAGGCGCUCAGGACAUUUUAGAUGCCUGUGGGGUGAGAACAGCUGACCAGUGCUCAGGUCCAACCCCUGGUGCAAUUCUCUGAGGCAGGAACUCUCGUGGGCCCAUUUCUAAGAGGUGGAGACGGAGGUGCUGGGUCAGCAAGGGAGGAAGGCAUCCCGCAGGCCCAGGCUCCGGGGGCUGCGUCGUCUCAGAAGUUGCCUGACCACCUGGGUGGGAGAGGGAGGCGUCGGCGGACUUUGCACCAGCAUUCCCGCUGACUCAGGGAACACAGGAAGGAAUUGUUUGCUUCCAACCUUGCAGGAAGGGGCUGUGACACCCCCUAGGCCUCCUGGAGGCAACACCUGCUGGUGUUACCAGGCACCCGAAUUAAAGAAGGUUGGAUGCGUCCGUCAGCAGACCUAAAGCACAGUCCACACAGCUUCCUUUAUCCUCAAUAUGGCUCCCUGGCUUUGCUAUCAAAACCUCAAGUCAUCACUCAAUGCUGUCACUUACAGGAGAUGCUGUCCCAGGGACACCUCGGGCCUCACUUCACACAUAUAAUGGCCUUGGGCUACACUGUGGGUCCGAAGAUCUCUGGGAAGGCCAGCAGUGCUGGGCCUGGACCGGCUCAGUCCCUGCCCGAGAAAUGGUCCAUCACGUCCCCGGGCAGGAGGCCGGGAGUGCAGGGGGUGGCGUGAUGGCGACCAGGAAGGAGUUGGCUUGCCUGCUGCUGACCCCGUGAUCUCAGGGUAUCAAUGUGCCUCAGGAAAGGGAAGACCCCCUAGGACCCAGAAGGACCCAUAAGUUGCUCCAUUGCCACAUGGACCCUCUAGCGCCAGCCCAGACAGUAGCCUUGAGGGGCCAGCAUUUGAAAUGUAAGUUUGGGGGAGGAACUGAAGGGAUGAAACCAGUCUCAGGUCACGGAAGAAGAGGGGUGGAGGAGGAGAGCUUAGGGGGCUGGGGAGAAGACUCAGGGGCCUGUUGGCCAGCUCUGACCCCAUCCAGGUGGGCUUGGGGCUGGGGGCCCAGUGCCUGUGUCACAGCCUGUGCUGCCUGGGCGCCUUCCCAGGAGCCCUUAAGCCCUGACUGGGGCCGCCCAGGCGGUGGACGGCAGGGAUGACCCCUUGGCACUCUUGCACAGGCAGCAGGGGACCGCCAGGAACCUCCUGGGCACCCCCUACCCCAGGUGCCCAGUGCUGUACACCCACUCCAGGAAUAGGCUGAAGGUCCUGAUGGGUCAGCAGGCGAGAAGCUGCCCUGGAAGCAGCAGCAUGCAGCGUCCACAUGGCUGGGCGUGAGCAGGGAGGACGCCAGGACUCCUCUUCCAGCUGGAUCAGGACCAUCCUGUGUCCGCGCCAGGCCUGCAGCAUCAUCCCCCAGGAACCAGGCCAGACAAGCGGAGGCGAAGAGAGGGCGGCAGAAAACAAGAUAAAUGGCCCAAUGGAUGCCAGCCCCGGCCGCCAAACACCGGGGGCUGUGGACUGGGCUGGCCCACGAUGUGCGUGUGAAGCAGCAGCUCACACAGAGCGUCGCCAAGCCCCUUCUUUCAGCAAACGCUGAGUCCCCGGAUGUGGGCUGACUUCGGGGCGUGGACAAUUUCUGUGGGUCAAGAAUCCAGGAACGCAGUGAUUUCUUGGAUCCGACAACGAAAGCAUAGGCAAUAAAAGAAAAAACUAGAUCAAGGGGACUACAUCAAAAUUUAAAACUUCUUCAUGUCAAAGGACAAUCGACAGUGUGAAAAGAGAACCCAUGAAAUGGGAGAAAAUAGUUGCAAAUCGUGUAUCUGCUAAGGGAAUGACGUCCAGAAUAUGUAAAGAACCCCUGCAACUCAGCUCUGGAACAAACAGCCUGAUGCAGAAACCGGCAAAGGACCUGAACAGGUGUUUCUCCAAAGGCAACGCCCACAAGCCCCUGAAAAGGUGCUCAAAGUCACUGGUAUGAGGGAAAUGCAAGCUGACACCACAGUGAGACGGUGCCUCACACCCAUCAGGACGGCUGCUCUCAAAACACGGAAAACGACAAGUGUUUCUUGUUGGAGGAUGAGGAGAAAUUGGGGUGUUGUGUGCUGUUGGUGGGGAUGUGAAUUUGUAUAGCUGCUGUGGAAAACAGGGUGCAGGUUCCUCCAAAAAUUAAACACAGAAUUACUGUGUGAUCCAGCAAUCCUACUUUUGGGUCUUUCCCCAAAAGAAGUGAAAGCAGGGUCUUGAUGACAUACUGCACACCCGUGUUCACAGCAGCAUUGUUCACAACAGCAAAAACGAGGAAGCAACCUCAGUGUCCCUUGAUGGAUGAAUGGCGUUAAAAAGAAAACCACAGGCCCCAAACAAUGUUAUUUGUGCUAAAGCCCAUGACAUGAGCCUGGAUUUGAGGCCUGAUCUAACUGCACUUUCAGCCUCUCCCAGAAACGUCAUCUUAAUCGACCAGUCUGGAAUUUUCUGGUCAACACCAGUCGGGUAAUCGCUCACCUGGGCCCUCUUGGCUCCCCAGAAGAAGAGGCAUCCAUGUGACAAAGCCCCUACCUUUCCUUCCCCCAGGAGACAAGGAGACGCCCUGGCCCCAAGUUAGCCUUCCUUUUCUUUUCUGGGAGCUCCCUGCCCGACCCUCCUUCCUAUUGCAGCCUGCAGAGCUCCCUUCUAGUGGCUAGAUGAGGUGCUGCCCGAUUCAGAGGCGCUUAGUGAAGCCAAUUAGAGCUUCCCAUUUACUCAGUUGAAUUUUGGUUUUAACAAUGGACGAGCAAAACGUGGCAUAUCCAUAUGUGAUGUUGUGAUUUAUAAUAAACAUGUAUUUGGUGUUCAUCUGUGAUUCCUGGCUCACGGCUCCCAAAAUGCUUGGAAAUUCCUGAGCAACAAUAACAAUGGGAGCAUCUUUUGUUAGAAUAUUUGGUCUCUCAUUCUCAGUUCCUCAAAUUGCUUCAGAGCCAUGAAGGUGACAUGGGUGUCUUUUUUUUAAAUUAUUUUUUAUUGUGGUAACAUUGGUUUAUAACAUUAUAUAAAUUUCGAGUGUACA
Molecule: long non-coding RNA, 4244 nt
Organism: Equus caballus (horse)
Lineage: Eukaryota; Metazoa; Chordata; Mammalia; Perissodactyla; Equidae
Source: RefSeq, a predicted model, not a curated record